RNAcentral lists this long non-coding RNA (3594 nucleotides) under Homo sapiens (human). RNAcentral's name for it is "HSALNT0016543". The record is from RNAcentral. Lineage: Eukaryota; Metazoa; Chordata; Mammalia; Primates; Hominidae.
CCAAACUGUUGAGAUUACAGGCGUGAGCCACCGCACCCAGCCUCAAGAAUGUCUUAAAUAAUGUGUUAUCCACCUACCACAAGAGCACUGUUCACCAUACCAGUUGAAGGAACCCAACUUGGCACUGCAUUUUGGGCAAAGAAGCUGAAAUAAAGCAAAUGUGUUACUUUAUUCAUUCACUUUUAUACAAAACAAAUCAUUAUCUUUGGCAAUCAAUAUAGGAUAUAAAAACAAGACACGAUCCCCACGUUGAGUUUAUAAUCUAAUCAGUGAGAUAAAAUGCAUUGGAAAUUUACUGUAAUAGAUAGUAGACUACAAUUAUCUCAUAGGAAGAAUGUUGUAUUCAGGGAGCUUGAAGGGAGAAAAGUGAAGCUUGAGAUUUGAUUAAGGAAGGUUUCAUGGAUGUGGCAUAUAUAUAUAUAUAUAUAUAUAUAUAUAUAUAUAUAGCUUUUAAAUCAGUUUGUAAUUUAGGACUUCAAAUGAAAAUGAUCACGGCUAAAGUAUAGAAAAGCAUGUUAGGAUUUUCAUGCUGUAUUACUAACUGUGUGUAUUGACAGCAUAUAAGUCAGAUUCUUAGCUAUUUAAAGACAAACUGAUAUUCCAGGAAAAUAGGUAAAUCAAAAAAGCCUAAUAAGGCAACUGCAUUUUCUUCUAAUGUAGUUAGUUAUAGCAUUAAUUUUUAUGUUUAGCUCUUUGAUUUAUGCAUGGUAUAAGGUAAGAGUUUUUAUUUUUAAUCUUGAGCUAUAGAAAACUAGACAUAAAACUCAGAAGCAGGCUGAGUGUGGUGGCUCAUACCUGUAAUUCCCAGCACUUUGGGAGGCCAAGGCGGGCAGAUCACCUGAGGUCAGGAGUUUGAGACCAGCCUGGUCAACAUGGUGAAACCCCGUCUCUACUAAAAACACAAAAAUUAGUUGGGCAUGGUGGCGGAUGCCUGUAAUCACAGCUACCUGGGAGGCUGAAGCAGGAGAAUAUUUGAACCCAGAAGGCGGAGGUUGCAGUGAGCCAAGAUCACACCACUGCACUCCAGCCUGGGCAACAGAGCAAGACUCCGUCUCAAAAAAAAGAAAUUCAGAAGCCAUAAAUAAAAAAACUAACAAAUUUUAUUAUGUAAAUAUCCUUCAUUUUAAUAUGACAAAACAUAAAAAAUCUGAUAAGCAAUAGACUGAAGAAAAUAGUUGCAAUAUAUUAGAUGAACUAUUAACAUCUAGAAUAUAUAGAGGUCCUACAAAUGAGUAAGAAAGAGACAAAACCCAUAGGCAAAUGGGCCUAGGAAUAUGAAAGCAAUUUAUAGAAAAGAAAACAGUAAAUGGCUGGUAAAUAUAUAAAGAUGGUGGUUGAUGACUAUUUUCAUAAAAUUCCAAUUAAACAUUUUAGGAUUAACAUUUUUUACCCCACAGACUGACAAAAUGUUACCAGUUUUAUAGUAUCUAUUAUGUCAAGGAUAUGGAGUAACGGGUACAUGCAUUCAGUUACUGAAAACCAAAUUUGUAUGGGCAUUUUGAAUAUCAGCCUGGAAUAUCACUAAUAUUUAAAAUACAUUCUUCGAGCCAGGAAUUCCACUUCUAGGUACAUAUUCUACAGAAAAAAAUCAAAUAUGUAUACAAAUAAGUAUGCACAGGAUUUAGAAUCUUACAUAAAAAUGUAUUUAACUUGGCUGGAGUGUGUGUGUGUGUUUCCCAGGUUAAGUAAAAUUAGAAAGCCAGAAUCACAAGCCACAAAAAAGAAAAACUGAUAAAUUAGAUACCAUCAAAAUUAAAAUCUCUAACUGCUACAAAUAAUACCAUCAAGAAUGGGAAUUGCAGCUGGGCAUGGUGGCUCACGCCUGUAAUCCCAGCACUUUGGGAGGCUGAGGCAGGUGGAUUACCUGAGGUCAGGAGUUCGAGACCAGCCUGACCAACAUGGAAAAACCCCGUCUCUACUAAAAAUACAAAAUUAGCCAGGCGUGGUGGCGCAUCCCUGUAAUCCCAGCUACUCAGGAGGCUGAAGCAGGAGAAUCACUUGAACCCGGGAGGCAGAGGUUGUGGUGAGCCAAGAUUGUGCCAUUGUACUCCAGCCUGGGCAACAAGAGUGAAACUCCGUCUCAAAAAAAAAGAAUGGGAAGAGUGGGAAUGUGAAUUGUGAUGUGAUACGGUUUGGUUCUGUGUCCCCAUCCAAAUCUCAUCUCAAAUUGUAAUCCCCAAGUGUGGAAGAAGAGAGGUGAUUGGAUCAUGGAGGCAGAUACCCCCAUGCUGUUCUCGUGAUAGUGAAUGAGCACUCAUAAGAUCUGAUGGUUUUAUAAGUGUUUGACAGUUCCUCCUUCACAUAUGCUUCUCUCUCCUGCCGCCUUGUGAAGAAGUGGCCUGCUUUCCCUUCUGCCAUGAUAAUAAGUUUCCUGAGGCCUCCCCAACCAUGCAGAACCAUGAGUCAAUUAAACCUCCUUCCUUUAUAAAUUACCCAGUCUCACGUACUAUCUUUAUGGCAGUGUGAAAAUAGACUAAUACACGAUGGUUGCAAAAACCACUGUGAAUACACUUUAAAAGCCACUGAACUAUACACCUUAAAUAGGUAAAUUGCAUGUUAUGUGAAUUAUACUAUAAUAAGGCUGUUUUUUUUAAAAAAAGCAGCAUUAUCCGAAAAUGUGAGUUUGAUUAUAUGGUACCACUUUCUAGGCAAGACACUACUCAUAAACAGUUUCCUCAUGCACAACACGUGAAUAUAACUGCUCUACCUAUUUUAUAAAGCUAUGGCAUUCUUCAAAUGGUAUAAUACAGUGAAAGGGUUUCAUAAACUAGCCACUAUACAAACUUUUAUACAAACCAUACAAACUUUCAAAAUCAUUAUUAAGAUGAUUAUUAUAGAAUACCUUCACAUUAAUAUCAAGUAAACCUAAAGGAGAAAUGUGGCUGUCAUGGCACACUCCAACCAAGUUAAACACUUUUUUAUGUAAAAUGUCACAUGAACUGCAUUCUUUUUUUAUUUCCCUACCCACUGGUUACAGGAGCAAUAGGAUGAGCUGCAUUAUUUAACUGGAAAUGAAAAAGAAUCUCAUAGCAAAACAAACUAAAUUUCACUCUCCUAAAAGAUAAGAAAAAAGAGAAAGACACAUACAGGAAGCCAACAGAGAAAAAGAAAGACAGAAUUUUUAACCUAAUUUUAAAAUCCCUGAUUUACCCUAUCUUGUUACAAAGUUCAAAUUUUGUUUAAUACAUUUUUUCUUUUCUUUUUUUCUUAUUAAAAAUUUUUUACUUUCUUUUAUAGAGAUGAGGUCUCACUAUAUUGCCCAAGCUGGUCUCGAAACCCUGGGCUCAAGUGAUCCUCCCGCCUCAGCCUCCCAAAGUGCUCAGAUUACAGGCAUGAGCUAAUGAGGCAAGAGUGCCCAGCCAAUAUAUUCUAAUUAGUUUAAAAAUAAAUGUUAGUCUUAUAUUUGAAAAAAAUAUAAAUAGCCUUAAAGGAAAUUUAUUAACUUAGACCAGGGCUCUCAACCAGAAGUAGUUCACUAUGUUGGAUCAGCUGGUUUUUGAAAAAUAUUUUAUUUUUGAUAGUCUUAUCUACACUAGAAAGAUAUAAUCUUCAGAAAUAAAGAAAUUAAGAAAUGGAGCAAAACACUAGUUAAAA